UAACCUUCGGGGGGACGCUUACCACUUUGUGGUUCAUGACUGGGGUGAAGUCGUAACAAGGUAGCGCUAGGGGAACCUGGCGCUGGAUCACCUCCUUA
RNAcentral lists this ribosomal RNA (98 nucleotides) under Vibrio alginolyticus. RNAcentral's name for it is "partial 16S ribosomal RNA". It matches the Rfam family "Bacterial small subunit ribosomal RNA", at positions 1436 to 1533 of the family's 1533-position model. The record is from RNAcentral. RNAcentral also lists the same sequence under 3 other names. Lineage: Bacteria; Pseudomonadati; Pseudomonadota; Gammaproteobacteria; Vibrionales; Vibrionaceae.